This 254-nucleotide ribosomal RNA is filed under the name uncultured prokaryote. Its description in RNAcentral is "partial 16S ribosomal RNA". It matches the Rfam family "Bacterial small subunit ribosomal RNA", at positions 525 to 777 of the family's 1533-position model. The record is from RNAcentral.
ACGGGGGGAGCAAGCGUUGUUCGGAUUUACUGGGCGUAAAGGGCGCGUAGGCGGCCAGCGCAAGUCAGUUGUGAAAUCCCCGGGCUUAACCUGGGAAUGGCAUUUGGGACUGCAAGGCUCGAGUGCGGCAGAGGAGACUGGAAUUCCUGGUGUAGCAGUGAAAUGCGUAGAUAUCAGGGGGAACACCGAUGGCGAAGGCAGGUCUCUGGGCUGACACUGACGCUCAUGCACGAAAGCGUGGGGAGCAAACAGGA